RNAcentral lists this ribosomal RNA (506 nucleotides) under uncultured bacterium. RNAcentral's name for it is "bacterial SSU rRNA". It matches the Rfam family "Bacterial small subunit ribosomal RNA", at positions 28 to 517 of the family's 1533-position model. The record is from RNAcentral.
GACGAACGCUGGCGGCGUGCCUAAUACAUGCAAGUCGAGCGGACCAAAGGGAGCUUGCUCCUGGAGGUUAGCGGCGAACGGGUGAGUAACACGUGGGCAACCUGCCUGUAAGACUGGGAUAACAUCGAGAAAUCGGUGCUAAUACCGGAUAAUAAAAAGAACUGCAUGGUUCUUUUUUGAAAGAUGGUUUCGGCUAUCACUUACAGAUGGGCCCGCGGCGCAUUAGCUAGUUGGUGAGGUAACGGCUCACCAAGGCGACGAUGCGUAGCCGACCUGAGAGGGUGAUCGGCCACACUGGGACUGAGACACGGCCCAGACUCCUACGGGAGGCAGCAGUAGGGAAUCUUCCGCAAUGGACGAAAGUCUGACGGAGCAACGCCGCGUGAGUGAUGAAGGUUUUCGGAUCGUAAAACUCUGUUGUUAGGGAAGAACAAGUGCCGUUCGAAAGGGCGGCACCUUGACGGUACCUAACGAGAAAGCCACGGCUAACUACGUGCCAGCAGCCG